UGAACGCUGGCGGCGUGCUUAACACAUGCAAGUCGAACGAUGAUCCCAGCUUGCUGGGGGAUUAGUGGCGAACGGGUGAGUAACACGUGAGUAACCUGCCCUUGACUCUGGGAUAAGCCUGGGAAACUGGGUCUAAUACCGGAUAUGACUCCUCAUCGCAUGGUGGGGGGUGGAAAGCUUUUGUGGUUUUGGAUGGACUCGCGGCCUAUCAGCUUGUUGGUGGGGUAAUGGCCUACCAAGGCGACGACGGGUAGCCGGCCUGAGAGGGUGACCGGCCACACUGGGACUGAGACACGGCCCAGACUCCUACGGGAGGCAGCAGUGGGGAAUAUUGCMCAAUGGGCGCAASCCUGAUGCAGCGACGCCGCGUGAGGGAUGACGGCCUUCGGGUUGUAAACCUCUUUCAGUA
Molecule: ribosomal RNA, 409 nt
Filed under: Arthrobacter sp. R-46319
Lineage: Bacteria; Bacillati; Actinomycetota; Actinomycetes; Micrococcales; Micrococcaceae
Description: bacterial SSU rRNA
Rfam family: Bacterial small subunit ribosomal RNA
Source: RNAcentral